UACGUAGGUGGCGAACGUUGUCCGGAUUUACUGGGCGUAAAGAGCGCGCAGGCGGUCGUGCAAGUCGCGUGUGAAAGCCCCCGGCUCAACUGGGGAGGGUCACGCGAUACUGCUCGACUCGAAGGCAGGAGAGGGAAGUGGAAUUCCCGGUGUAGUGGUGAAAUGCGUAGAUAUCGGGAGGAACACCAGUGGCGAAGGCGACUUCCUGGCCUGUUCUUGACGCUGAGGCGCGAAAGCUAGGGUAGCAAACGGG
Molecule: ribosomal RNA, 253 nt
Filed under: uncultured bacterium
Lineage: Bacteria
Description: partial 16S ribosomal RNA
Rfam family: Bacterial small subunit ribosomal RNA
Source: RNAcentral